Molecule: ribosomal RNA, 535 nt
Filed under: uncultured Acidobacteriota bacterium
Lineage: Bacteria; Pseudomonadati; Acidobacteriota
Description: bacterial SSU rRNA
Rfam family: Bacterial small subunit ribosomal RNA
Source: RNAcentral
UUGAUCCUGGCUCAGAAUCAACGCUGGCGGCGUGCCUAACACAUGCAAGUCGAACGCGAAAACCCCGCAAGGGGUUAGUAGAGUGGCGAACGGGUGAGUUACACGUGGGUGACCUACCUUCGAAUGGGGGAUAACGUCCCGAAAGGGACUCUAAUACCGCAUAACAUCCUGCUUUUGAACAGGUGGAGAUCAAAGCCGGUGAUCGCAAGACCUGGCGUUUGAAGAGGGGCCCGCGUCUGAUUAGCUAGUUGGUGAGGUAACGGCCCACCAAGGCGACGAUCAGUAUCCGGCCUGAGAGGUCGGACGGACACACUGGGACUGAGACACGGCCCAGACUCCUACGGGAGGCUGCAGUGGGGAAUCGUUCGCAAUGGGCGCAAGCCUGACGACGCAACGCCGUGUGGAGGAUGAAGGUCUUCGGAUUGUAAACUCCUGUUGCCCGGGACGAAUAGCUUCGACCUAACACGUCGAAGUCUGACGGUACCGGGUGAGGAAGCCCUGGCUAACUCUGUGCCAGCAGCCGCGGUAAUAAGGU